This 1324-nucleotide ribosomal RNA is filed under the name Staphylococcus aureus W76994_072512. RNAcentral describes it as "bacterial SSU rRNA". It matches the Rfam family "Bacterial small subunit ribosomal RNA", at positions 8 to 1313 of the family's 1533-position model. Lineage: Bacteria; Bacillati; Bacillota; Bacilli; Caryophanales; Staphylococcaceae. The record is from RNAcentral.
AGAGUUUGAUCCUGGCUCAGGAUGAACGCUGGCGGCGUGCCUAAUACAUGCAAGUCGAGCGAACGGACGAGAAGCUUGCUUCUCUGAUGUUAGCGGCGGACGGGUGAGUAACACGUGGAUAACCUACCUAUAAGACUGGGAUAACUUCGGGAAACCGGAGCUAAUACCGGAUAAUAUUUUGAACCGCAUGGUUCAAAAGUGAAAGACGGUCUUGCUGUCACUUAUAGAUGGAUCCGCGCUGCAUUAGCUAGUUGGUAAGGUAACGGCUUACCAAGGCAACGAUGCAUAGCCGACCUGAGAGGGUGAUCGGCCACACUGGAACUGAGACACGGUCCAGACUCCUACGGGAGGCAGCAGUAGGGAAUCUUCCGCAAUGGGCGAAAGCCUGACGGAGCAACGCCGCGUGAGUGAUGAAGGUCUUCGGAUCGUAAAACUCUGUUAUUAGGGAAGAACAUAUGUGUAAGUAACUGUGCACAUCUUGACGGUACCUAAUCAGAAAGCCACGGCUAACUACGUGCCAGCAGCCGCGGUAAUACGUAGGUGGCAAGCGUUAUCCGGAAUUAUUGGGCGUAAAGCGCGCGUAGGCGGUUUUUUAAGUCUGAUGUGAAAGCCCACGGCUCAACCGUGGAGGGUCAUUGGAAACUGGAAAACUUGAGUGCAGAAGAGGAAAGUGGAAUUCCAUGUGUAGCGGUGAAAUGCGCAGAGAUAUGGAGGAACACCAGUGGCGAAGGCGACUUUCUGGUCUGUAACUGACGCUGAUGUGCGAAAGCGUGGGGAUCAAACAGGAUUAGAUACCCUGGUAGUCCACGCCGUAAACGAUGAGUGCUAAGUGUUAGGGGGUUUCCGCCCCUUAGUGCUGCAGCUAACGCAUUAAGCACUCCGCCUGGGGAGUACGACCGCAAGGUUGAAACUCAAAGGAAUUGACGGGGACCCGCACAAGCGGUGGAGCAUGUGGUUUAAUUCGAAGCAACGCGAAGAACCUUACCAAAUCUUGACAUCCUUUGACAACUCUAGAGAUAGAGCUUUCCCCUUCGGGGGACAAAGUGACAGGUGGUGCAUGGUUGUCGUCAGCUCGUGUCGUGAGAUGUUGGGUUAAGUCCCGCAACGAGCGCAACCCUUAAGCUUAGUUGCCAUCAUUAAGUUGGGCACUCUAAGUUGACUGCCGGUGACAAACCGGAGGAAGGUGGGGAUGACGUCAAAUCAUCAUGCCCCUUAUGAUUUGGGCUACACACGUGCUACAAUGGACAAUACAAAGGGCAGCGAAACCGUGAGGUCAAGCAAAUCCCAUAAAGUUGUUCUCAGUUCGGAUUGUAGUCUGCAACUC